RNAcentral lists this ribosomal RNA (413 nucleotides) under uncultured bacterium. Its description in RNAcentral is "bacterial SSU rRNA". It matches the Rfam family "Bacterial small subunit ribosomal RNA", at positions 29 to 487 of the family's 1533-position model. The record is from RNAcentral.
AGCGAACGCUGGCGGCAGGCCUAACACAUGCAAGUCGAACGGAUCCUUCGGGAUUAGUGGCGGACGGGUGAGUAACACGUGGGAACGUGCCCUUUGGUUCGGAACAACUCAGGGAAACUUGAGCUAAUACCGGGAUGUGCCCUUCGGGGAAAGAUUUAUCGCCAUUGGAGCGGCCCGCGUCUGAUUAGCUAGUUGGUGGGGUAAAGGCCCACCAAGGCGACGAUCAGUAGCUGGUCUGAGAGGAUGGUCAGCCACAUUGGGACUGAGACACGGCCCAAACUCCUACGGGAGGCAGCAGUGGGGAAUCUUGCGCAAUGGGCGGAAAGCCUGACGCAGCCAUGCCGCGUGAAUGAUGAAGGUCUUAGGAUUAGUAAAUUCUUUCACCGGGACGAUAAUGACGGUACCCGGAGAAG